ACCCUCCUCAGAACUUGACUGUGACUGUCUUCCAAGGAGAAGGCACAGCAUCCACAGCUCUGGGGAACAGCUCAUCUCUUUCAGUCCUAGAGGGCCAGUCUCUGCGCUUGGUCUGUGCUGUUGACAGCAAUCCCCCUGCCAGGCUGAGCUGGACCUGGAGGAGUCUGACCCUGUACCCCUCACAGCCCUCAAACCCUCUGGUACUGGAGCUGCAAGUGCACCUGGGGGAUGAAGGGGAAUUCACCUGUCGAGCUCAGAACUCUCUGGGUUCCCAGCACGUUUCCCUGAACCUCUCCCUGCAACAGGAGUACACAGAGUGAGGUCCUGCAGGAAGAAAUCGGCAAGGCCAGCAGCGGACGUGGGAGACAUAGGCAUGAAGGAUGCAAACACCAUCAGGGGCUCAGCCUCUCAGGGUAACCUGACUGAGUCCUGGGCAGAUGAUAACCCCCGACACCAUGGCCUGGCUGCCCACUCCUCAGGGGAGGAAAGAGAGAUCCAGUAUGCACCCCUCAGCUUUCAUAAGGGGGAGCCUCAGGACCUAUCAGGACAAGAAGCCACCAACAAUGAGUACUCAGAGAUCAAGAUCCCCAAGUAAGAAAAUGCAGAGGCUCGGGCUUGUUUGAGGGUUCACGACCCCUCCAGCAAAGGAGUCUGAGGCUGAUUCCAGUAGAAUUAGCAGCCCUCAAUGCUGUGCAACAAGACAUCAGAACUUAUUCCUCUUGUCUAACUGAAAAUGCAUGCCUGAUGACCAAACUCUCCCUUUCCCCAUCCAAUCGGUCCACACUCCCCGCCCUGGCCUCUGGUACCCACCAUUCUCCUCUGUACUUCUCUAAGGAUGACUACUUUAGAUUCCGAAUAUAGUGAGAUUGUAA
This 872-nucleotide long non-coding RNA is filed under the name Homo sapiens (human). RNAcentral describes it as "long non-coding RNA NONHSAT179906.1". Lineage: Eukaryota; Metazoa; Chordata; Mammalia; Primates; Hominidae. The record is from RNAcentral.